UCCGCUUCCGGUUCCUAGUGUUAACUGCGACCGAGGUUCAGCGCUCGGGUGAGAAGCUGGUGGCGUCGGCAGGUUCCAGACGGUUCGAGGCGAUUCGAGCUCCAGCUAGGAUGAUCGAGGUUGUUUGCAACGACCGUCUGGGGAAGAAGGUCCGCGUUAAAUGCAAUCUUCCUGCCCCUCUUUCCUCUCCCAUCCUCAUCCCCCACACUGGGAUAGGUGCUUGUUUGUAAAAACUCACCUUAAUAAAGACUUAGAUGUUG
This 260-nucleotide small RNA is filed under the name Pongo abelii (Sumatran orangutan). RNAcentral describes it as "processed transcript". Lineage: Eukaryota; Metazoa; Chordata; Mammalia; Primates; Hominidae. The record is from RNAcentral.